Long non-coding RNA from Bactrocera neohumeralis, 1238 nucleotides. RefSeq lists it as uncharacterized. The record is from RefSeq and is a predicted model, not a curated record. NCBI's taxonomy places the organism in Eukaryota, Metazoa, Arthropoda, Insecta, Diptera, Tephritidae. The transcript is spliced from 2 exons.
GUUCGGUUGAUUGAUUCAGUGGCGAGCAGUAGCCGACUUAGGCGUCACAGCAAAGUAAACGCCGAAAACAAUAACAAAACCAGAUAAGGAACAUUUUCGUGCGAUCAUUUUUCACAACUUUCGACGUGGAUUAUCACGACAAGAGUGCAUCGAUGAACUAAAAUCUUUGUAUGGCUAUGAAGCACCAUCCUAUGGCACUGUGAAAAACUGGUACAACGAAUUCAAUCGUGGCCGACGCUCGCUCAAAGACGAAUUCCGUGAAGUUAGUCCAAAAACAGCCGAUGUGCCAGAAAACAUCGAUGCCGUACGUGAACUGAUAAUGCAAGACCGUCAUGUAACAUACCUUCAGAUAGAGGCAUGCCUAUGCAUUUCUCCCACCAGCAUACAUUCGAUAUUGCAUGAACACCUGGCCGUAAAAAAGGUUUGUUCUCGUUGGAAUCGCUCAAAAAAGGCUCGUGUGGAUUGGUGUAACGAAAUGCUGAAAAAAUAAAACAAAAAAAAAACAUUAUCGUUGAUAAAUAUGCCUAUUUACAUUAUUAGGGCAGAAAUAUAUAUAGCCUUGCUUGAGAAGAUGGACGUCUUCGCUUUUUGUACAAGUAGUAUUUUGUACGCUUUCAAUUUAAGAUCUUCAUGUAUAAUGCGCUAAGCCGUUCUAUACGUCAGUCCAAGUUGCUGCGAACGGCGCCGAAUCGACUCCCCACGUGUGCACUCUCAGCUACGGCUGAUAUAUUUUCUUCACUUGCUAACUUAAAAUUUUAAUAAUUAUUUCGUUUUCUUUAAAAAAUUUUCGAAAAGGGUAAAGUUGUAAGGCUGUAACAACUCAACUAAAACUUUUUGACAGGUUGAAUUGUUUUCGAUAAUACCAAAAUUUUAAAUUGAAACUUAAGUCGUAACUAAAAACUGUUUGUUUUGGAGAAAGCUAGUGAAAUAAGUUCGCGAAUUAGGAUUAUCUUUGCUUUUGAUGCUGACCUUUCUCUAGUACUUUGAAUAUUAUAUUUAGUAUAAAAUCUGUAUACUGCUUCAUGGCAAAAAGGCAUGGCAUGGCAUAAUUCCUGUCAAUCUUUUGUUACAGUAUUUGACUGGAUUCCUCUGAGGUAUACACACAUUUGAAGUGAAUAAUGAAUUUAAAAAAUAUUUGGUUACUUCCUUAAAACAAUGAAACUCCUUUCUGUUGCUUUAAAAUAUACAAAACGGAUUGAAUUGCUUCACAGAUGUUGAAAAUGUAAGCAGGAAAUAAA